GCUAUACAUGCAAGUCGAACGCUUUGUGCUUAAUUGAUAUGACGAGCUUGCUCUGAUUUGAUUUUUUGAUUUCAAAGAGUGGCGAACGGGUGAGUAACACGUGGGUAACCUACCUCUUAGCAGGGGAUAACAUUUGGAAACAAGUGCUAAUACCGUAUAAUACCAACAACCGCAUGGUUGUUGGUUGAAAGAUGGUUCUGCUAUCACUAAGAGAUGGACCCGCGGUGCAUUAGCUAGUUGGUAAGGUAAUGGCUUACCAAGGCAAUGAUGCAUAGCCGAGUUGAGAGACUGAUCGGCCACAAUGGGACUGAGACACGGCCCAUACUCCUACGGGAGGCAGCAGUAGGGAAUCUUCCACAAUGGGCGCAAGCCUGAUGGAGCAACGCCGCGUGUGUGAUGAAGGGUUUCGGCUCGUAAAACACUGUUAUAAGAGAAGAACGGCACUGAGAGUAACUGUUCAGUGUGUGACGGUAUCUUACCAGAAAGGAACGGCUAAAUACGUGCCAGCAGCCGCGGUAAUACGUAUGUUCCAAGCGUUAUCCGGAUUUAUUGGGCGUAAAGCGAGCGCAGACGGUUAUUUAAGUCUGAAGUGAAAGCCCUCAGCUCAACUGAGGAAUUGCUUUGGAAACUGGAUGACUUGAGUGCAGUAGAGGAAAGUGGAACUCCAUGUGUAGCGGUGAAAUGCGUAGAUAUAUGGAAGAACACCAGUGGCGAAGGCGGCUUUCUGGACUGUAACUGACGUUGAGGCUCGAAAGUGUGGGUAGCAAACAGGAUUAGAUACCCUGGUAGUCCACACCGUAAACGAUGAGUGCUAGAUGUUCGAGGGUUUCCGCCCUUGAGUGUCGCAGCUAACGCAUUAAGCACUCCGCCUGGGGAGUACGACCGCAAGGUUGAAACUCAAAGGAAUUGACGGGGACCCGCACAAGCGGUGGAGCAUGUGGUUUAAUUCGAAGCAACGCGAAGAACCUUACCAGGUCUUGACAUCCCUUGACAACGCUAGAAAUAGCGCGUUCCCUUCGGGGACAAGGUGACAGGUGGUGCAUGGUUGUCGUCAGCUCGUGUCGUGAGAUGUUGGGUUAAGUCCCGCAACGAGCGCAACCCUUAUUAUUAGUUGCCAGCAUUCAGUUGGGCACUCUAGUGAGACUGCCGGUGAUAAACCGGAGGAAG
RNAcentral lists this ribosomal RNA (1167 nucleotides) under Weissella hellenica. Its description in RNAcentral is "bacterial SSU rRNA". It matches the Rfam family "Bacterial small subunit ribosomal RNA", at positions 48 to 1172 of the family's 1533-position model. The record is from RNAcentral. Lineage: Bacteria; Bacillati; Bacillota; Bacilli; Lactobacillales; Lactobacillaceae.